This is a long non-coding RNA of Vitis riparia (riverbank grape), 389 nucleotides long. RefSeq lists it as uncharacterized. NCBI's taxonomy places the organism in Eukaryota, Viridiplantae, Streptophyta, Magnoliopsida, Vitales, Vitaceae. The transcript has 3 exons. The record is from RefSeq and is a predicted model, not a curated record.
CCGGCUUUUACUCUAACCCUCGACAUUCGACUCCGCCUUUCAUCGGCCUGAUUUUGAGGCCACCGCCUCCUCCAAGGAACUAUUCAGGUAUUUUUUUGCUGUGGUUUGUUGCCAGAGUAUUGAGAUCAAUGAAAGGAAUGAGGUGACUUGAGGAGCUCUUUAGAGAUGGAGAUGACAAAUAAGAUUGAAAGAUUUUGCCAUGUUGAAAUUUUAAUGCAUCAGCUUGGUUAGCUAUAUAUUGAGCAUAUGUCUUAACUCAUUUGUAAGUUUCAUUUUGUGGAUUAUUUAUUAUUUAUUUGGAUGAACUAUAUGGUAAUUGAAAUGUAAAAUAAUAUAGAAAGUAUGAUAUUUAUUCAUUUUUCUAAAUAAAUUCUCAGUAAUUAGUUUAA